CUGGUUAUCAAAAACAUCUCCCUUAGAAAUAAAAACUUUAAAGGUAUUCUCUGCUCAAUGAAUUUUCAAUAGCCGCAGUAUCUUGACUGUGCUAAGGUAGCAUAGUAAUUUGUCUUAUAAUUGAGGACUGGAAUGAAAGAGUUGACGAUAUUUUAACUUUCCUAAGAGAGCUGAUGGAACUUGACAUCUUCAUAAAAAGGUGAAGAUAGUUUAAAGGGACGAUAAGACCCUAUAAAGCUUUACAUAAUGAGUUAUAUAAAAGCUAGGUGAGAUGUAUUACUCCUUGUGUUGAGCUGGGGCGGCUUCCAUAGAUUCACUGGAAAAGUUAACAUUCAUAAAUGAAUAAAAAGAUCUUACAUGAGAUUUAGAAUAAGCUACUUUAGGGAUAACAGCACAAUUUUACCAUAGAGAUCUUAUCGAAGGUAAAGACUUGUGACCUCGAUGUUGAAUUGAAGGGGCGCUUCCAAGUAGAAAUGGGAGUGGAGGGUCUGUUCGACCCAUAAUUCUUCACAUGAUCUGA
RNAcentral lists this ribosomal RNA (520 nucleotides) under Echinozone sp. MP58. Its description in RNAcentral is "partial 16S ribosomal RNA". It matches the Rfam family "Bacterial large subunit ribosomal RNA", at positions 1800 to 2608 of the family's 2925-position model. Lineage: Eukaryota; Metazoa; Arthropoda; Malacostraca; Isopoda; Munnopsidae. The record is from RNAcentral.